Molecule: small nuclear RNA, 139 nt
Organism: Ochotona princeps (American pika)
Lineage: Eukaryota; Metazoa; Chordata; Mammalia; Lagomorpha; Ochotonidae
Gene: U1
Rfam family: U1 spliceosomal RNA
About the family: U1 is a small nuclear RNA (snRNA) component of the spliceosome (involved in pre-mRNA splicing). Its 5' end forms complementary base pairs with the 5' splice junction, thus defining the 5' donor site of an intron.
Source: Ensembl
AUACUUACCUGGCAAGGGAGAAGUGGCUUUCUCAGGGUGAGGCUUACCCAUUGCACUCUGCAUGUACUGACCUCUGACCCCAAUGUGAAAAAACUUAACUGCAUAAUUGGUAGUGGGGAACUGUGUUCACACUCUCCAC